AGAGUUGAUCCUGGCUUAGGAUGAACGCUAGCUACAGGCUUAACACAUGCAAGUCGAGGGGCAUCAUGGAGUUGCUUGCAAACUCUGAUGGCGACCGGCGCACGGGUGAGUAACGCGUAUCCAACCUUCCCUAUAGUAGAGGAUAGCCCGGCGAAAGUCGGAUUAAUACUCUAUGUUUUCCGUUGCAGACAUCUAAGAUGGAACAAAGGCUUGCCGCUAUAGGAUGGGGAUGCGUCUGAUUAGGUAGUCGGCGGGGUAACGGCCCACCGAGCCAUCGAUCAGUAGGGGUUCUGAGAGGAAGGUCCCCCACAUUGGAACUGAGACACGGUCCAAACUCCUACGGGAGGCAGCAGUGAGGAAUAUUGGUCAAUGGGCGAGAGCCUGAACCAGCCAAGUAGCGUGCAGGACGACGGCCCUAUGGGUUGUAAACUGCUUUUAUGCGGGGAUAAAGUUCACUACGUGUAGUGUUUUGUAGGUACCGCAUGAAUAAGGACCGGCUAAUUCCGUGCCAGCCGCAGC
This 519-nucleotide ribosomal RNA is filed under the name uncultured bacterium. RNAcentral's name for it is "bacterial SSU rRNA". It matches the Rfam family "Bacterial small subunit ribosomal RNA", at positions 8 to 518 of the family's 1533-position model. The record is from RNAcentral.